CAGCAGCCGCGGGAAUACGAAGGGGGCUAGCGUUGUUCGGAAUUACUGGGCGUAAAGGGCGCGUAGGCGGCCAUUCAAGUUAGAUGUGAAAGCCCUGGGCUCAACCUAGGAAUUGCAUUUGAUACUGUUUGGCUUGAGUUCGGGAGAGGUGAGUGGAAUUCCCGGUGUAGAGGUGAAAUUCGUAGAUAUUGGGAAGAACACCAGUGGCGAAGGCGGCUCACUGGACCGACACUGACGCUGAGGCGCGAAAGCGUGGGGAGCAAACAGGAUUAGAUACCCCAGUAGUCCCUGUCUCUUAUAA
RNAcentral lists this ribosomal RNA (301 nucleotides) under uncultured bacterium. RNAcentral's name for it is "partial 16S ribosomal RNA". It matches the Rfam family "Bacterial small subunit ribosomal RNA", at positions 509 to 809 of the family's 1533-position model. The record is from RNAcentral.